CUGCGCCCUGCACACCGAUUGCAAGCACUGGGUUUACCUCCGAGCUGAUGUCUGUAAGAAAUAGUGGCAUAGCUAAUGCACAGAUACUAUGUAUUCAUACUUCAGUCAGCGCUGGAUGUGGGACAGCAAUCUCCAGCAGUGAGGGAGCAGGCUUCAAGAAAAAGCAGACAGAACAAUCUUCACAAUCCUUAGAUGGUCAGACUCCCUCUACUAUCAGCAGUCAGAAAGAUUGUGAUCCCAGGCUCAGAGGCAGAUCAGCUCCUUCCUGA
Molecule: long non-coding RNA, 269 nt
Filed under: Cyanistes caeruleus (blue tit)
Lineage: Eukaryota; Metazoa; Chordata; Aves; Passeriformes; Paridae
Description: lncRNA (ENSCCEG00000012051.1)
Source: RNAcentral